Molecule: ribosomal RNA, 415 nt
Filed under: unidentified nematode Sourhope farm
Lineage: Eukaryota; Metazoa; Nematoda
Description: SSU rRNA
Rfam family: Eukaryotic small subunit ribosomal RNA
Source: RNAcentral
UCUAAGCACAUGCCUUAAUACGGUGAAGCCGCGAAUAGCUCAUUACAACAGCCACCGUUUAUUAGAAUAUCGUUAUCCUACUUGGAUAACUGUGGCAAUUCUAGAGCUAAUACAUGCAAAAAAGCUCCGCCCGCGAGGAACGAGCGCAUUUAUUAGAAUAAAAACCAAUCGGGUCUCGGCCCGUAAUUUGGUGAAUCUGAAUAACUUUGCCAAUCGCACGGUCCUAGUACCGGCGAUGUAUCUUUCAAGUGUCUGCCUUAUCAACUUUCGAUGGUAGGUUAUACGCCUACCAUGGUAGUAACGGGUAACGGAGAAUAAGGGUUCGACUCCGGAGAGGGAGCCUGAGAAACGGCUACCACAUCCAAGGAAGGCAGCAGGCGCGCAAAUUACCCACUUCCAGAACGGAGAGGUAGUG